Molecule: transfer RNA, 69 nt
Filed under: Marmota marmota marmota (Alpine marmot)
Lineage: Eukaryota; Metazoa; Chordata; Mammalia; Rodentia; Sciuridae
Also listed under: 4 other names
Rfam family: tRNA
About the family: Transfer RNA (tRNA) molecules are approximately 80 nucleotides in length. Their secondary structure includes four short double-helical elements and three loops (D, anti-codon, and T loops). Further hydrogen bonds mediate the characteristic L-shaped molecular structure. tRNAs have two regions of fundamental functional importance: the anti-codon, which is responsible for specific mRNA codon recognition, and the 3' end, to which the tRNAs corresponding amino acid is attached (by aminoacyl-tRNA synthetases). tRNAs cope with the degeneracy of the genetic code in two manners: having more than one tRNA (with a specific anti-codon) for a particular amino acid; and 'wobble' base-pairing, i.e. permitting non-standard base-pairing at the 3rd anti-codon position.
Source: Rfam by way of RNAcentral
GGGGUUGUGGCUCAGUGGUAGAGCACUCGCCUAGCAUGUGCGAGGCCCUGGGUUUGAUCCUCAGCACCA